Molecule: ribosomal RNA, 253 nt
Filed under: uncultured bacterium
Lineage: Bacteria
Description: partial 16S ribosomal RNA
Rfam family: Bacterial small subunit ribosomal RNA
Source: RNAcentral
UACGUAGGGUGCGAGCGUUGUCCGGAAUUACUGGGCGUAAAGGGCUCGUAGGUGGCCAACUAAGUCAGACGUGAAAUCCCUCAGCUUAACUGGGGAACUGCGUCUGAUACUGGAUGGCUUGAGAUUGGGAGAGGGAUGCGGAAUUCCAGGUGUAGCGGUGAAAUGCGUAGAUAUCGUAAGGAAGACCAGUGGCGAAGGCGGGUCUCUGGACAGUUCCUGACGCUGAGGCACGAAGGUCAGGGGAGCAAACGGG